Molecule: ribosomal RNA, 441 nt
Filed under: uncultured bacterium
Lineage: Bacteria
Description: partial 16S ribosomal RNA
Rfam family: Bacterial small subunit ribosomal RNA
Source: RNAcentral
CCUACGCGAGGCAGCAGUGGGGAAUAUUGCACAAUGGGGGAAACCCUGAUGCAGCGACGCCGCGUGAGUGAAGAAGUAUUUCGGUAUGUAAAGCUCUAUCAGCAGGAACGAGACAAGACGGUACCUGACUAAGAAGCCCCGGCUAACUACGGGCCAGCAGCCGCGGUAAUACGGAGGGGGCAAGCGUUAUCCGGAAUCACUGGGUGGAAAGGGAGCGUAGACGGCUGAGCAAGCCUGCAGGGAAAGGCGGGGGGCCAACCCCCGGACUGCUUGGGAAACUGUACGGCUGGAGUGCAGGAGGGGUAAGUGGAAUUCCUGGUGUAGCGGUGAAAUGCGUAGAUAUUAGGAGGAACGCCAGUGGCGAAGGCGGCUUACUGGACUGUAACUGACGUUGAGGCUCGAAAGCGUGGGGAGCAAACAGGAUUAGAUACCCGAGUAGUC